Molecule: ribosomal RNA, 253 nt
Filed under: uncultured bacterium
Lineage: Bacteria
Description: partial 16S ribosomal RNA
Rfam family: Bacterial small subunit ribosomal RNA
Source: RNAcentral
UACGUAGGGGGCGAGCGUUGUCCGGAAUCAUUGGGCGUAAAGAGCGUGUAGGUGGACUGGAAGGUCUGGUGUGAAAGCCCGGGGCUCAACCCCGGAGGGUCACUGGAAACCAACAGUCUUGAGUCUGGAAGAGGAGAGUGGAAUUCCUGGUGUAGCGGUGGAAUGCGCAGAUAUCAGGAGGAACACCAAUGGCGAAGGCAGCUCUCUGGUACAUGACUGACACUGAGACGCGAAAGCGUGGGGAGCGAACAGG